GUUUUAAAUUAAUUGUACAGCAUCUUGUAACUCUGAGAUUUUGAUGAUGUCCCUGUUUAUUUUUAGAAUGACUUCGUAGGGUAGGUGUGAGAGGUCAGAGCUGGCUGGUUUGAGCAUAUAACAGGAAAACAAUUUUGGCCUUGCAUGGCCGGUUUAAACACUAAAGGGUUAAAAAGGAUGGUUGCGAAUGAGGUGCCAUGUGCCUCCA
This is a long non-coding RNA of Octopus sinensis (East Asian common octopus), 208 nucleotides long. RefSeq lists it as uncharacterized. The transcript has 4 exons. The record is from RefSeq and is a predicted model, not a curated record. Lineage: Eukaryota; Metazoa; Mollusca; Cephalopoda; Octopoda; Octopodidae.